Pelobates cultripes (western spadefoot toad) is the source of this 517-nucleotide non-coding RNA. The record is from the annotation of a GenBank genome assembly. Lineage: Eukaryota; Metazoa; Chordata; Amphibia; Anura; Pelobatidae.
ACACACAGUCACACAGCGUACCCUAGGGCAAAACCCUAAACCAAAGCAGUCGACGCAGAAAAUAAAGUCACAUGGGACACCUCAACGCAGACAAUGCAGUUUUGCUGUGAACCACCACCCUCCUGGGCCAUCAAGUCCACCUCGAUACACUGCCCUGCACAACUCCCAUGCCCUCGAAGGCUCCUUACUCACUUUGAGCGGAAAAAGCAAGUCGGAAGAUUCCCAGACCAAAUCCUGGAGAUAGCUCAGAGGGGAACCUGUGGGUCAGGCGACUCAGACUGUAUAGCAGCCUGGGGCUGGUGAGGUAUGAACAUGCAGGACUUGUGUUUGCAAUCAGGCCAGCACACACGAAAUGUUAGGCAUUGGCUAAUUAACCUGUCUACCCCCUAAUGCUUUUCAUGCCUCAGUUUACCUGGCUCUUUAUAUUAUACUGCUCUUAAUGCAAUACUGUCUAUAAAUUAGUUUCAUAUGACACAUAAUACCCGGUGGUACUACUCAUAGUUCUCACUCAUUGGUG